CACGUAGGGUGCGAGCGUUGUCCGGAAUUAUUGGGCGUAAAGAGCUCGUAGGCGGUGUGUCGCGUCGGCCGUGAAAACCUGCAGCUUAACUGUGGGCUUGCGGUCGAUACGGGCAUCACUGGAGUUCGGCAGGGGAGACUGGAAUUCCUGGUGUAGCGGUGAAAUGCGCAGAUAUCAGGAGGAACACCGAUGGCGAAGGCAGGUCACUGGGCCGCAACUGACGCUGAGGAGCGAAAGCAUGGGGAGCGAACAGG
Molecule: ribosomal RNA, 254 nt
Filed under: uncultured bacterium
Lineage: Bacteria
Description: partial 16S ribosomal RNA
Rfam family: Bacterial small subunit ribosomal RNA
Source: RNAcentral